This 116-nucleotide ribosomal RNA is filed under the name uncultured bacterium. Its description in RNAcentral is "partial 16S ribosomal RNA". It matches the Rfam family "Bacterial small subunit ribosomal RNA", at positions 1369 to 1482 of the family's 1533-position model. The record is from RNAcentral.
CGUUCCCGGGUCUUGUACACACCGCCCGUCACACCACGAGAGUUUACAACACCCGAAGUCGGUGAGGUAACCCGCAAGGGGGCCAGCCGCCGAAGGUGGGGUAGAUGAUUGGGGUG